This is a long non-coding RNA of Papilio polytes (common Mormon), 1205 nucleotides long. RefSeq lists it as uncharacterized. The record is from RefSeq and is a predicted model, not a curated record. The transcript is spliced from 3 exons. Lineage: Eukaryota; Metazoa; Arthropoda; Insecta; Lepidoptera; Papilionidae.
GCGCCGCAGAUCGUGCCCGCCGGACACCCCGCAGUACUCAACGCCAAAAACAAAAUACUAUUCUUUAUCUGCUUGACGCGCGGCGACACGCAGCUGGUGCUGCCGCUGGUGUACGACUCGCAGAACAACAGCACGCAGCUCGCCGACAAGCGCGACGCACAGCCACACCUCCUCGCCGUCAACCUGCACCUCAAGCGGUUCAGCGAGUUCACUCAGGCGCACUCAGAGUGCACGCUGUGGCCGGCGGUGCGCGACCUGCUGACCAACUUCACGCUGCCGCAGGAGGCGCCGCCCGCCGCCGCGCAGCCGCCGCCCUAGCUGCACCGCACUACACAUCACAAUUAUUUAAACCAUUAGUUUUAUAUCCGCAAUAUGCGCGCUGUUGGAACUGUGAAGAUGUACGUUGCUGAAACUGUUGCCGUAAUGUGCCUGCAAUGUGUUUCAAACAACACUAAGGUCUGUCGAGUUAUGAACACAAUAAACUUCUAAACAUGUGUAGGUGUGACCUUCCUUACUGCUGAUUUUAUGCAAUUAGACACAAAUCACGUGAAUGUGUAAUAAAUUAUUACGUAUAAUCUAUGUUCUAUAUUAUCUAUAUAAAAACAAGAAAAAUGUAAAUACCGUGUAAAUGUUUUUGUAAUAUGACAAAAUGAAACGUCUGAUAUUUGUAAAAUGCCUAUUUUUAGAUGUAAAGAAUAUUCUGCCGCGGUCUGAGUUGUUAAUGGUUAUUUAGACCCUUAGUGUAGACUUCUCAUAAUAAACCGGCGCUAAGGCUCUUCCUCAGUAGCCAUUAAACUGCUUUGAAUAUGGCAGUAUGUUGAAUAAAUUCAAUUUAAAUAUAAGUUAAAAGUCUCGUUUUGUAGUGAAAUGUCAAACAAACAUUUUAUUUAUUUCUUUUUACGUUUUUAAGUAUCUUAUAAACAAAUAAAUAAGUUUUAAUUUACUGUAUUGAAAUAGGUUAUUCUAAGUUAAACUAAGUUUGAUAUGUGGGUGCGGUAUCGGUCUACAAUAAUUAACUAAGAAUACUUGGAGUUGUUUUAAUGUAGUUUUUGCAAACAACGAUUGCAGAUUUGCAUGUGGUAAAUAUGUAUCUCAAGACAAAUUCAUCUGUUUAUAUCGAUAUAUAAUACACAUAAUAAAAUUGGGGCGUUUAUAUGUAAUAGCAAAAUAAAAAUUCCAGAUUUCGCAAAGAUGAUGUAUUGCGU